UUGUGUUAUGCCGCCAUCUUGGCGGUCAACCGGUCAGCUCUUUCCUACGUGUUCGUACGGAUUCAGUUUGAUUUCGGCGCUACAUUUUCACCGAUUUCAUCCGAAUUAUGGCUGAUUUGCUAUCCAAUGAAGAAAUUUUACCAAAUGCCAGGUAAAACACUCUCAACGGAUGAAUGAUCCUCCCCUCAGACCUUGGGUAGCAAUAGCGAAAGAUGGUCAGAUCCUGUGCUGCCACUGUACCUGCAUGGCUGGAUUGGGUGAAACAGGUUCACAUUCAGCAGCAUCCCUGUUCGCCCUGGAGACAUUAAUACGUAUGAAGACGGCCACUUCAUGCCCAUCACUACCUUGUCAGUGGCUGAAACCAUCAGCAUCGCACAUAGAAUAUGCUGAAGGAUGCAAUAUCGAUUUUGCCCGUCCAGCCCAGAAACGAAAGUCAGAAGUUUCAACUCCUGAGGAAAGUGCUGCGAGACAACUGCUGAAUGUUCCUCCACCAACUGAAGAGCAGAAAGCUGCCUUUUACAAGGCUUUGUCUGAAUGUGGUGGAAGACCAGCAAUUUUGAGCAUUGUCCCUGACUAUGCUGACAACUUUGUGCCAAGGGCAGUGAAGCGAAAGCUUCUUGUACCUCUCUCACAGCUGCACGAUUCUGGCAAUAUGAAACUCAGCCCAGAUGAACUUGCACUAAAAUGCCGGUCAGAGAUGGAAAAGUUACAUUCCAUUACCAGACAGCAGAUAUCUGCGGUUGAAGAAGAGUUCAGGGGCCAAGCAACAUCAACAACUUGGUUUCAACAAAGACCUGGGCGAAUUAGUUCAUCAAGUUCUGCACGCAGAUUUUUACACUCUGCAGUGAGGGAAUCCAUUGCUUCCCCAGUGAUAUCCGUCCGUCUGUGUGGCAGUAGUCACCAUGCCUUCUUUUCGAAUCUCAGCGUGCACCACAUCUUCACCAGCGGGUAGUUGAUCAUUUUCACAAGGGACAGACUGGGAAAUAUUGACAAGUGCUGCUGCUGCUGCUGCUGCUGCUGCUGCUGCUGCCAAUGCCCUCUCGCGGUCUCUCUCUUGCGCUGCUUGAGAUUUCUUCUUCUCUCAAAGAUCUUCAUUGAACAUUUGAGUUUUCGUUUGUGAGGUGACUGGGUAUGCUCAAAUAUACUUGGCACAUAGUCUGGGGAUAGUGGAUCUUCGCUUUUUGCACCUGAAACAAACAAUCACGUUAUUCAUAAUGACUAUCAUAAAUAAUUAAGCACGUUGUUCAAGGGGAUAUACCCAGUUCAAUUUGUUUCGUAAUGGCAUUUCAUAACUUGACAUAUUAAAAGACUGAAUAGAGUUAAAUCAUUCAGAUACUGUACCCGUCUGUUCAAGUUGCUAUCAUUUUUAUUUUUUGUUUAUUUUUGCAUGAUGCUUCAUCUGAUUGGCUUGAAAACUUAACCAAUAGAAAUUUUAACCGUGUGCCAAUGGCUUGAAAACUUUACCAAUGUAGAUUUUACCUUGUGCCAAAUGAAGUAACAAAAAGCCUCUUGUUCAAAAAUGCUUCAUUAAAAAAAUUGUUUCACAAGGUUCAUAAUUUUUUGGGAAAUUUCCUAAUGCAUUCACUCAUGAGAAUUAAUUGUUCAAUUCCAAUAUGAAGUUCAAUAUUUACAUUGAUAAAGUUUUCAAGCCAAACAGAUGAAGCAUCAUGAAAAAAUGAACAAAAAAUAAAAACGGGGAGGUGAACUGAAGAAAUCAUCCCAUUCCCUGCCUUGCUGCUUUUCUAAAAAUGCACCCAGCAUUUUCAACAAUCACAUUUGUAUCAUCCCAUAUUGUAUUGUUUCACAUUUUGUGAAACAAAUCAGGGGUGAAUAGUUUGUUUACAUACCUGAUAUGAAGUGCUCAUUGCAUAUCCUUGUGUAAAUCGUAGGUUUCCAUCGUUCACGACGAAUCGCCGCGAUCCAUUUAUCGCGUUUUUGGAUGUUUGCCGGAAAUCUAGAAGCUAAGGUUUGGUUUAUCAAGCUCAAAUAGCAGCAGAUGUAACGUGUGUGAGUCGUUGACCGGCACUGAAAUGUUGACCGGCAAGAUGGCCGCCAAGCUAAUGUACCGCGGCUGAUGACGUCAGCUGCAAAGCCUCUAUAGCAGGGGUGUCCCAACUGCGGCCCGCAGCAAAUUCUGAAAACAUAAUUGAAUAUGGCCCGCACAAGAAGCUUGAGCUCAACUCUGUUGCACUUCUCGGUUUCAACACUAGAUGGAGCCCGCCACACAAGUCAAGUUUAUUUGUAUAGCCCUAAAUCACAAGCAGUCUCAAAGGGCUUCACAUAGACAGAAAUUGACAAUUAUUCUCAAAGCAUCCCCUGAUCUUAAGCUCCCAAAAGGGCAAGGAAAAACUUAAAAACCCCUACUGGGGGAAAAUAAGAAACCUUGAGAAGGGACCACAGAUGGAAGGAUCCCCCCUUUCAGGAUCACCAGGUUGGAAUGGAUGCAGAGAGGGCACAAAUGAUACAACAUGAACAUCAAUGAAAUAAAAAGUGGAUGUCCAUGUCAGAGCAGAGGGCUGCCGAAGGAAAUGAAAUCAAGCGAAGCGUUCGACGUACCAUUAUGAGCCUGUGAUGGAUAUACUGCAAAAAAAAAAAAAAAAGGGGAGAACGAAAGGCUAAUUGUCAAACAAUUCAGCAAAAAAGCACAGAAAAGAC
Long non-coding RNA from Syngnathus typhle (broad-nosed pipefish), 2655 nucleotides. RefSeq lists it as uncharacterized. NCBI's taxonomy places the organism in Eukaryota, Metazoa, Chordata, Actinopteri, Syngnathiformes, Syngnathidae. The record is from RefSeq and is a predicted model, not a curated record. The transcript is spliced from 3 exons.